Molecule: ribosomal RNA, 253 nt
Filed under: uncultured bacterium
Lineage: Bacteria
Description: partial 16S ribosomal RNA
Rfam family: Bacterial small subunit ribosomal RNA
Source: RNAcentral
GACGAAGGGGGCUAGCGUUGCUCGGAAUUACUGGGCGUAAAGCGAGUGUAGGUGGUUGUCCAAGUUGGAUGUGAAAGCCUUGAGCUUAACUCAAGAAAUGCAUUCAGGACUGGGCGACUAGAGGACCGGAGAGGAUAGUGGAAUUCCCAGUGUAGUGGUGAAAUACGUAGAGAUUGGGAAGAACACCAGUGGCGAAGGCGGCUAUCUGGACGGUUUCUGACACUAAGACUCGAAAGCGUGGGGAGCAAACAGG